Molecule: ribosomal RNA, 253 nt
Filed under: uncultured bacterium
Lineage: Bacteria
Description: partial 16S ribosomal RNA
Rfam family: Bacterial small subunit ribosomal RNA
Source: RNAcentral
UACGUAGGGUGCAAGCGUUGUCCGGAAUUAUUGGGCGUAAAGAGCUCGUAGGCGGUCUGUCGCGUCUGCUGUGAAAACUCGGGGCUUAACCCCGGGCCUGCAGUGGGUACGGGCAGACUAGAGUGCGGUAGGGGAGACUGGAAUUCCUGGUGUAGCGGUGAAAUGCGCAGAUAUCAGGAGGAACACCGGUGGCGAAGGCGGCCCACUGGAUCGGCACUGACGCUGAGGUGCGAAAGCGUGGGGAGCAAACAGG